This 467-nucleotide ribosomal RNA is filed under the name uncultured bacterium. Its description in RNAcentral is "partial 16S ribosomal RNA". It matches the Rfam family "Bacterial small subunit ribosomal RNA", at positions 338 to 795 of the family's 1533-position model. The record is from RNAcentral.
CCUACGGGGGGCAGCAGUGGGGAAUAUUGCGCAAUGGGCGAAAGCCUGACGCAGCGACGCCGCGUGAGGGAUGAAGGUCUUCGGAUCGUAAACCUCUGUCAGCAGGGAAGAACGGUCACUGUGCUAAUCAGUAGUGACUUGACGGUACCUGCAAAGGAAGCACCGGCUAACUCCGUGCCAGCAGCCGCGGUAAUACGGAGGGUGCGAGCGUUAAUCGGAAUUACUGGGUGUAAAGAGUUGCGUAGGUGGCAUAAUAAGUAGCUAGUGAAAUCUGGUGGCUCAACCAUUCAGACUAUUAGCUAAACUGGUAAGCUUGAGACCGUUAGGGGUAACUGGAAUUUCAAGUGUAGGAGUGAAAUCCGUAGAUAUUAGAAGGAACACCAAUAGCGUAGGCAGGUUGCUGGGACGGUUCUGACACUAAGGCACGAAAGCGUAGGGAGCAAACGGGAUUAGAUACCCCAGUAGUC